This 250-nucleotide ribosomal RNA is filed under the name uncultured bacterium. RNAcentral's name for it is "partial 16S ribosomal RNA". It matches the Rfam family "Archaeal small subunit ribosomal RNA", at positions 474 to 723 of the family's 1478-position model. The record is from RNAcentral.
CACCGGCGGCUCGAGUGGUAACCGCUAUUAUUGGGUCUAAAGGGUCUGUAGCCGGCCGGAUAAGUCUUUUGGGAAAUCCAGCUGCUCAACAGUUGGGCUUUCAGAAGAUACUGUUCGGCUCGAGGCCGGGAGAGGUGAGAGGUACUUCAGGGGUAGGGGUGAAAUCUUGUAAUCCUUGAAGGACCACCAGUGGCGAAGGCGUCUCACCAGAACGGACCUGACGGCAAGGGACGAAAGCUAGGGGCACGAA